Molecule: ribosomal RNA, 379 nt
Filed under: uncultured eukaryote
Lineage: Eukaryota
Description: partial 18S ribosomal RNA
Rfam family: Eukaryotic small subunit ribosomal RNA
Source: RNAcentral
CAAUAGCGUAUAUUAAAGUUGUUGCGGUUAAAAAGCUCGUAGUUGGAUUUCUGCUGAGAACGACCGGUCCGCCCUUUGGGUGUGUAUCUGGCUCUUUCUUGGCAUCUUCUUGGUGAACGUUGCUGCACUUGACUGUGUGGAGCGCUACCCAGGACUUUUACUUUGAGGAAAUUAGAGUGUUUCAAGCAGGCUUACGCCUUGAAUACAUUAGCAUGGAAUAAUAAGAUAGGACCUCGGUUCUAUUUUGUUGGUUUCUAGAGCUGAGGUAAUGAUUAAUAGGGAUAGUUGGGGGCAUUCGUAUUUAACUGUCAGAGGUGAAAUUCUUGGAUUUGUUAAAGACGGACUACUGCGAANGNAUUUGGNAAGGAUGUUUNCAUUG